UGGCUCAGGAUGAACGCUGGCGGUCUGCUUAACACAUGCAAGUCGAACGGGCGCAGCAAUGCGUUAGUGGCGGACGGGUGAGUAACACGUGAGAAUCUGCCAACGGGACGGGGAUAACAGGGGGAAACCGCUGCUAAGACCCGAUAAACCGAAAGGGGAAAAAGAAAUUGCCAGUUGAUGAGCUCGCGUCGGAUUAGCUAGUUGGUAGGGUAAGAGCUUACCAAGGCGACGAUCCGUAGCCGGUCUGAGAGGACGAUCGGCCACACUGGGACUGAGACACGGCCCAGACUCCUACGGGAGGCAGCAGUGGGGAAUUUUCCGCAAUGGGCGAAAGCCUGACGGAGCAAGACCGCGUGAGGGAGGAAGGCUCUUGGGUUGUAAACCUCUUUUCUCAAGGAAGAAGCAAUGACGGUACUUGAGGAAUCAGCAUCGGCUAACUCCGUGCCAGCAGCCGCGGUAAUACGGAGGAUGCAAGCGUUAUCCGGAAUGAUUGGGCGUAAAGCGUCCGCAGGUGGCAGUUCAAGUCUGCCGUUAAAGACUCCAGCUUAACUGGAGGAAGGCGGUGGAAACUGAACAGCUAGAGUGCGGUAGGGGCAGAGGGAAUUCCCGGUGUAGCGGUGAAAUGCGUAGAGAUCGGGAAGAACACCAGUGGCGAAAGCGCUCUGCUGGACCGCAACUGACACUCAGGGACGAAAGCUAGGGGAGCGAAUGGGAUUAGAUACCCCAGUAGUCCUAGCCGUAAACGAUGGAUACUAGGUGUUGUGCGUAUCGACCCGCGCAGUGCCGCAGCUAACGCGCUAAGUAUCCCGCCUGGGGAGUACGCACGCAAGUGUGAAACUCAAAGGAAUUGACGGGGGCCCGCACAAGCGGUGGAGUAUGUGGUUUAAUUCGAUGCAACGCGAAGAACCUUACCAGGACUUGACAUGUCCGGAAUCCUUGGGAAACCAGGGAGUGCCUUCGGGAACCGGAACACAGGUGGUGCAUGGCUGUCGUCAGCUCGUGUCGUGAGAUGUUGGGUUAAGUCCCGCAACGAGCGCAACCCUCGUUUCUAGUUGCCAGCAUUAAGUUGGGCACUCUGGAGAGACUGCCGGUGACAAACCGGAGGAAGGUGGGGAUGACGUCAAGUCAGCAUGCCCCUUACGUUCUGGGCUACACACGUACUACAAUGCUUCAGACAAAGGGCAGCUAGCCAGCGAUGGUCAGCAAAUCCCAGAAACUGAGGCUCAGUUCAGAUCGCAGGCUGCAACUCGCCUGCGUGAAGGCGGAAUCGCUAGUAAUCGCCGGUCAGCAUACGGCGGUGAAUACGUUCCCGGGCCUUGUACACACCGCCGUCACACCAUGGGAGCUGGCGGUGCCCGAAGUCGUUAUCCUAACCCCUCGGGGAGGGAGACGCCGAAGGCAAAGCUGGUGACUGGGGUGAAGUCGUAACAAGGUAGCCGUACCGGAAGGUGUGGCUGGAUCACCUCCUUUACAGGGAGACCGAACCCUACGGAUGGCCGAGAAGCUGAAAAGCAGGUCAAAGUGGAGGUCAAACCUAGGUCGAACGAGGCAGCAAAAACUGGCUUUCAAACUAAGAAAGGUUCGGCAAGCGAUGCUAACUUGCCAAGAUGGGCUAUUAGCUCAGGUGGUUAGAGCGCACCCCUGAUAAGGGUGAGGUCCCUGGUUCGAGUCCAGGAUGGCCCACCUCAAGCGAGCGACAGCUAUUAACUGUGGGGGUAUAGCUCAGUUGGUAGAGCGCCUGCUUUGCAAGCAGGAUGUCAGCGGUUCGAGUCCGCUUACCUCCACUGCCAGCUAAACAGGAGCCAACCGGAAAAGGUGAGCCACGGCCAGCCAAAAAACUAAAAAAAUAAAAAGUAUCUAGUUGUGAAAGAGCAACAGAUGCUAGACUAGAAAAGUUGGGCAAAAUCAACAGCACCUCCCCAGCCAUCAGGCGAGUGAGAAUGCUGGUUUUUUAACCAGCCAGAACCUGGAAAACUGCAUAGCCAUCACAAGCCAAACAAUUACAGUUGCAGAUAGAAAAUCAAAAACUAUCUUCAACCGAGCCAAGAAAAAGAUCGAACAAACAGUGGUCAAGCUAAUCAGAGCUGACGGUGGAUACCUAGC
This 2103-nucleotide ribosomal RNA is filed under the name Cephalothrix lacustris ACKU600. RNAcentral's name for it is "bacterial SSU rRNA". The stretch from base 1 to 1470 matches the Rfam family "Bacterial small subunit ribosomal RNA". Lineage: Bacteria; Bacillati; Cyanobacteriota; Cyanophyceae; Aerosakkonematales; Aerosakkonemataceae. The record is from RNAcentral.